Molecule: long non-coding RNA, 642 nt
Filed under: Brassica napus (rape)
Lineage: Eukaryota; Viridiplantae; Streptophyta; Magnoliopsida; Brassicales; Brassicaceae
Description: long non-coding RNA (BNAP_LNC015620)
Source: RNAcentral
UUCAAUUUCGGAGUUUGCUGUACGUGUGCCCAAUACUAUGAUUUAGGUAUUUAUUUUCAGUCAAUUAUUUAAACUCUUUUAUGGUUCUGCAUCUCAAAUGAUUUCUUUAUAUUUGAUUGGUUUUUAUCCUGCUCAUAUGCUAAUUUUGAUUUUCUCAUAUACUGAUUUUCUUUGGUGAUUCAUCUUUUUUUGCCAGUUACAGAUGCAUACAUCCUCAAUUCAUGGGGUAUACGCUUCCCAGUCUGUUAGUUAUGGAAGAAAUUUUUAUGUUGGAAAUUACAAUGCAGAUUUUGUAGAGUGGUGAUAAUAUAUUCGACGUAGUGGAUCACAAUAAUAUCCCAACCAUUUUAAAUCACUCGACAAGGCCGCAAACUUCUCAAGAUGGCCAUAUUAUGAGAUCGUGAUUUUAUUCUACCGGUACGACGAUUUCUAUUGACAAGGAAACUAUGGAAAAUAACACGACAAGCAUUGAUGAAUCUUGUACAUUUGUUCUUUUUUGUUGGGGGAUUUUCUUCUUCUUUUAAUUUGAUGUACUGUGUUCUUAGGUAUAUCUACAUAUGUGUUUGUGUGUGUUUCUUUGUUGAUAACAAUUAUAUAAUUGUCAAAAUCUUAAUAAAAGUAAUAAAAAUAAAAAUAAAUAGC